GGGUUGUGAGGUUAAGCGACUAAGCGUACACGGUGGAUGCCCUGGCAGUCAGAGGCGAUGAAGGACGUGCUAAUCUGCGAUAAGCGCCGGUAAGGUGAUAUGAACCGUUAUAACCGGCGAUUUCCGAAUGGGGAAACCCAGUGUGAUUCGUCACACUAUCAUUAACUGAAUCCAUAGGUUAAUGAGGCGAACCGGGGGAACUGAAACAUCUAAGUACCCCGAGGAAAAGAAAUCAACCGAGAUUCCCCCAGUAGCGGCGAGCGAACGGGGAGGAGCCCAGAGCCUGAAUCAGCAUGUGUGUUAGUGGAAGCGUCUGGAAAGGCGCGCGAUACAGGGUGACAGCCCCGUACACAAAAGCGCAUGUGCUGUGAGCUCGAUGAGUAGGGCGGGACACGUGGUAUCCUGUCUGAAUAUGGGGGGACCAUCCUCCAAGGCUAAAUACUCCUGACUGACCGAUAGUGAACCAGUACCGUGAGGGAAAGGCGAAAAGAACCCCGGCGAGGGGAGUGAAAAAGAACCUGAAACCGUGUACGUACAAGCAGUGGGAGCCCCACCACUAAGCCAGUGGUGAACUCCACAUACGCAUCCUUUGCUGAGGAUACGGUUAACGGAGCGAAAGCGACGUUCAACCGCAAAAGAAGCAGAGGGGGCUUAGUGGUGGGGUGACUGCGUACCUUUUGUAUAAUGGGUCAGCGACUUAUAUUCUGUAGCAAGGUUAACCGUAUAGGGGAGCCGCAGGGAAACCGAGUCUUAAC
RNAcentral lists this ribosomal RNA (755 nucleotides) under Salmonella enterica subsp. enterica serovar Altona. RNAcentral's name for it is "partial 23S ribosomal RNA". It matches the Rfam family "Bacterial large subunit ribosomal RNA", at positions 1 to 688 of the family's 2925-position model. The record is from RNAcentral. Lineage: Bacteria; Pseudomonadati; Pseudomonadota; Gammaproteobacteria; Enterobacterales; Enterobacteriaceae.